UACGUAGGGGGCUAGCGUUGUCCGGAAUCAUUGGGCGUAAAGCGCGUGUAGGCGGUCCGGUAAGUCCGCUGUGAAAGUCGGGGGCUCAACCCUCGAAUGCCGGUGGAUACUGUCGGGCUAGAGUACGGAAGAGGCGAGUGGAAUUCCUGGUGUAGCGGUGAAAUGCGCAGAUAUCAGGAGGAACACCAAUUGCGAAGGCAGCUCGCUGGGACGUAACUGACGCUGAGACGCGAAAGCGUGGGGAGCAAACAGG
RNAcentral lists this ribosomal RNA (253 nucleotides) under uncultured bacterium. Its description in RNAcentral is "partial 16S ribosomal RNA". It matches the Rfam family "Bacterial small subunit ribosomal RNA", at positions 524 to 776 of the family's 1533-position model. The record is from RNAcentral.